RNAcentral lists this ribosomal RNA (3325 nucleotides) under Candidatus Yanofskybacteria bacterium GW2011_GWA2_41_22. RNAcentral describes it as "bacterial SSU rRNA". The stretch from base 1 to 2375 matches the Rfam family "Bacterial small subunit ribosomal RNA". Lineage: Bacteria; Candidatus Yanofskyibacteriota. The record is from RNAcentral.
GAGAGUUUGAUUCUGGCUCAGGAUGAACGCUGGCGGCGUGGAUAAGGCAUGCAAGUCAAGGGGGUUUUGGGAGCAAUUUCAAAACAACCGGCGAACGAGUUAGUAACACCUUGGUACAUAACCUAAAGUCGGGCACAACCCCGCGAAAGCGGAGCUAAUUCCCGAUGUUGAAGCAAUUCCAAAGGAGCAAUCCGCUUUGGGAGUGGCCUAGGUCCUAUCAGCUUGUUGGCGGGGUAAAAGCCCACCAAGGCUAUGACGGGUAGGGGGCGUGAGAGCGCGUUCCUCAACGACGACACUGAGAUACGGGUCGUACACCUACGGGUGGCAGCAGUCAAGAACAUUCGACAAUGGGCGAAAGCCUGAUCGAGCGACGCCGCGUGCAGGAAGAAGUCCUUCGGGAUGUAAACUGCUUUUGCGUAGGAAAAAUUUUGAUUGUACUACAAGAAUAAGGGGUUGCUAACCUCGUGCCAGCAGCAGCGGUAAUACGAGGACCCCGAGCGUUAUCCGGAAUUACUGGGCAUAAAGAGCGAGUAGCCGGUUUUGUUAGUCUGAUGUUAAAUUCCGAGGCUUAACUUCGGAGCCGCAUCGGAAACGGCAAGAGUCCAGCUCAAAGUUAUUUUCUAAGACGAAAUUGAAAUAUUUGAGACGAAAUAAAGAAAAAAUUUUAAGGCAUAGCCUUGGGCGCUAUACUGAAAAAUUUUUCCAAAGUUGCAAUCCAAAUAUUUUAAUUGCAGUCAGAAAGAUAAUUUCGAGUUGGACUCCUUGAACUAGAGCAGGUAAGAGGUAAGCGGAACGUGCGGUGUAGGGGUGAAAUCCAUUGAUAUCGCACGGAACACCAAAAGCGAAGGCAGCUUACUGGUGCUUUGCUGACGGUCAAUCGCGAAAGCGUGGGCAUAAAAAAGGAUUAGAUACCCUUGUAUUCCACGCCCUAAACUAUGCUGACUAGCUAUUGGGAGCAUCGACCCUUCCAGUGGCGUAGCUAAUGCGUUAAGUCAGCCGCCUGGGAAGUACGAGCGCAAGCUUAAAACUUAAAGAAAUAGGCGGGAAUUCGCACAAGCGGUGGAUCAUGUGGUUUAAUUCGACACUGAGCGAAGAACCUCACCAAGGCUUGAAAUCCUAGUGUAAGCUCCGGGAAACCGGGGCCCCCGCAAGGCUCUAGGACAGGUGCUGCACGGCUGAACUAUCGGCCGGUAGGGGAGCAAUUCCCUACAAAAAUAACCAGCUCAUAACGGUGGAGUCCGAAAUAUAUUAAUGUUAAAAUUAAUAUAUGGAUAAUACCGUGGGAAGCCCGAAUACAAGUUUUUGUAACUUUCCGAAAUCAACUCAAGAUUAUUAUAUUCUUGGCCUUUGGUGCGCUGAUGGCUACCACUGGACAAGCAGUAUAGGAUUGAGCAAUAUUGAUUUAAUUUUAAUUAAGAAAUUUAGAAAUUUUCUUUCAGGAUUAUUUCCUAAAGAAAGAAUUAAAUUGGAUCAAUACAGAACAGGAAAGAGAAAAUAUGUUGGAUAUAAGAUUUAUGUAAAUUGCAGGCCGUUAUUAAGAAUUUUUAAAAAAUUCAAAGACAAUAAUAACGAGAGGAGUAUAAAUAAUGCCGAAGCAAUAAAAGCUUAUAUCGCAGGAAGAUUUGAUGGCGAUGGUUGUAUAUCUAAAGACCUAAAACGAGAUUGCAGAAUAUCUUAUGGAAAUGAGAUUGAUGCAAAACUUGACACCAAUUUAUUACAAGAAAUUGGCAUUAUGCCCAAACUAUACAGAUAUCGCACAUCAAAUACAUUUGUAAUUUAUAUUUCUAGAUUUGAUACUAAAAAAUUUACAAAUGUAAUCAGUCCAUAUUCAAUAAAGUUACAAAAACUUGUACUUGGGUCCCGUAGAGACUCUGACUAUACAGAGAUAGUCAGGAUGGCAACAAAUAAUAUAUAAUAUUGCCAUAAAACGCUGGCUCCCUCCCCAAGCAUGGAGAGGGAUGAAAGUAUAGUCCGUACCAUUAGGAAUAAUGGAAUAAUACGGUCGUCAGCUCGUCUCGUGAGAGGUUUCCUUAAGUGGAUUAACGAGCGCAACCCCUAUCGUCUGUUAUAUUUGUCAGGCGAGACUGCUUUCGUAAGGAAGAGGAAGGUGGGGAUGACGUCAAGUCAGCGUGGCCCUCUGAUGUCUUGGGCUACACACAUGAUACAAUGGAUGUUACAAUGGGUUGCCAACCCGCGAGGGGGAGCUAAUCCCAUCAAAGGCAUCCUCAGUUCGGAUAGGAGGCUGAAACUUGCCUCCUUGAAGCCGGAAUCGCUAGUAAUCGCAGAUCAGAACGCUGCGGUGAAUACGUUCUCGAAUUUUGCACUCACAAUAAAAGCGCUCGGCAGGUUUCUUUUCUAAACGGUUAAAAUCCGUUCCUCCGACAACCCGUGUUGGAGCGUAGUCAAAAGUUAGUCCCGAUCCGCGAGGAUUGAGGACGAAGGAACUAAAGACAAAAAGCAGUCCCACGAUAAAACACCCUGAAUUGACCUAUGAUUGGCAGUGAGCAUAGGGAAAAUUCCUUGAAAGGGGCCGCGGGAAUGCAAGGAAUAGAAAAGCAACUAACCCGAGGAGAUCUGGCGUAAAGCAAUUUAUGCGCUUUGCAUAGUUUGCUAAAAUGGCAUAAUAGAUUUGACGCCGCGUCAGAAGUCAGCUGAAUCAUAGUAAUCCAAUCGGAUGAAGGAUUCACUCCAAUGCAAAAUGCUUACACCAGAUUAUAUAAUUGGAUUAACAGACGGAGAAGGAAGCUUUACGGUUUAUCUUCGAAAUCCCGAAAAUCCAAUUAAAAAGAAAAGGCGAGUAUACGCAGAGCCAAGAUUCUAUAUAAAACUUAUAGAGAAAGACAAGGAUAUUCUUUAUAGGCUUAAAAAAUUCUUUGGUUGUGGAAGCGUAUAUUUCCAAAGAGAUGUUCGACCUAAUCACCAGAAUUGUUAUCGUUACGAAGUUUAUAAUCGUAAUGAUUUGAAAAAAAUUAUAAUUCCUUUUUUCAAAAAAUAUCAUCUUAAGUUCAAUUCUAAAAAAAAUGAUUUUAAAAUAUUCUGUGAUUUGUUCGAAAGAAUUUGUAAAAAUGAGCAUCUUAAUACGGAAGGCCUGAAAUUCUUGUGUAAUCUAAAAGCAAAAAUGCAUUAGAGCUCGUCGUAUGCGGGAAAUCCGCAGGUACGAUGGGAACAUCAACUCUUAAUCUAAGAGGAUACUUGCCCGUCAAGUCAAGGGAGCUGGGAAUACCUGAAGAUCCGUAUUUUUAUAUGGAGACACGGUAGGCUCAGUGACAAGGACUAAGUCGUAACAAGGCAAGGGUAGCGGAAGCUGCUCUUGGAUCACCUCCUU